RNAcentral lists this ribosomal RNA (409 nucleotides) under uncultured bacterium. RNAcentral's name for it is "bacterial SSU rRNA". It matches the Rfam family "Bacterial small subunit ribosomal RNA", at positions 509 to 916 of the family's 1533-position model. The record is from RNAcentral.
CAGCAGCCGCGGUAAUUCGGGGGGUGCAAGCGUUAUUCGGAAUCAUUGGGCGUAAAGGGCGCGUAGGCGGUCUUUUAAGUCAGGUGUGAAAGCCCUCGGCUUAACCGAGGAAGUGCAUUUGAUACUAAAAGACUUGAGUAUGGGAGAGGGAAGCGGAAUUCCUGGUGUAGCGGUGAAAUGCGUAGAUAUCAGGAGGAACACCGGUGGCGAAGGCGGCUUCCUGGACCAAUACUGACGCUGAGGCGCGAAGGCGUGGGGAGCAAACAGGAUUAGAUACCCUGGUAGUCCACGCAGUAAACUGUGAACACUAGGUGUAGCGGGUAUUGACCCCCGCUGUGCCGCAGCUAACGCAUUAAGUGUUCCGCCUGGGAAGUACGGCCGCAAGAUUAAAACUUAAAGGAAUUGACGG